Non-coding RNA from Microtus oregoni (creeping vole), 477 nucleotides. The record is from the annotation of a RefSeq genome assembly. NCBI's taxonomy places the organism in Eukaryota, Metazoa, Chordata, Mammalia, Rodentia, Cricetidae.
AUGGACUUAAGGCACAUACUGGUUUUCUUUGUCCUUAUUUUAAAAGGAGUCCAGUGUGAAGUGCAGUUAUCGGAAUCUGGUGGAGAAUUAGUGCAGCCAGGAAAGACCCUGAAACUCUCCUGUGCAGUCUCUGGAUUUACCUUCAGUAGUUAUGCAAUGGGCUGGGUGCGCCAGGCUCCCGGAAAGGGGUUGGAGUGGGUUGCAACCAGUGGUAGUAGCACCUACUAUGCAGACGCUGUGAAGGGCAGGUUCACAAUCUCCAGAGACAAUGCCAAGAAUACUCUGUACCUGGAAAUGAGCAGUCUGAGAUCUGAGGACACAGCCAUGUAUUUCUGUGCAAGAUACACAGUGAGUGAAUAUUACUGUGAACUCAGACAAAAACACGCCUGUGGGGAACACAUGACCAGCAGGGGGCGCAGAGAGCACUUAGAAAUCUGGGUCACAGAAGAGCCUGCUCAGAGAAACGUGGAAGACUAG